Molecule: ribosomal RNA, 3355 nt
Filed under: Durio zibethinus
Lineage: Eukaryota; Viridiplantae; Streptophyta; Magnoliopsida; Malvales; Malvaceae
Description: eukaryotic LSU rRNA
Rfam family: Eukaryotic large subunit ribosomal RNA
Source: RNAcentral
CGUGACCUUAGGUCAGGUGGGAUCACCCACUGAGUUUAAGCAUAUCAAUAAGCAGAGGAAAAAAAACUUACCAGGAUUCCCUUAGUAACGACGAGUAACCGGGAAGAGCCUAACUUGAGAAUUAGGCACCCUUGACGUCUGAAUUAUAGUAUGAAGAAGCAUCCUUAGUGGUGACCGAGCCCAAGUCCCUUGGAAAAGGGCAUCAGAGACGAUGAGAGCCCUGUUGUGCCUGGACCCUGUCGUACCAUGAGACGCUGUCCGCGGGUCGGGUUGUUUAGGAAUACAACCCCAAUCAGGAGGUAAAUUCCAUCCAAGGCUGAAUACGGGUGAGAGAUCAAUAGUAAACAAGUACCAUGAGGGAAAAAUGAAAAGGACUUUGAAAAGAGAGUCAAAGAGUGCUUGAAAUUGUCGAAAAGGAAGUAGAUGGGGAAUGACGAUGCACCCCGAUUAGAUGUGGAAUGGUGAGAGUCGGUCCGUAGAUCAGCUCAAGGCAUGGAUCGAUGUGGGUCACGAUAGUGGCCCAAGCUUGGGCUUUCGAUGUGCCAGCAGAGAUGUCAUCAUCAUGAUCGUGGAAUGCAGCACGCACCAUUUCGACAUUCCUUGACAUCUGUAUGCUCUCGACGUAGGCCUGCGGGCUCUCCACCUGGCCUAUCUUCAAACACGAACCAAGGAGUUUGACAUGUGUGUGAGUCAACAGGCCAGGAAACCCAUAAGGAGCAAGAAAGCUGAUUGGCAAUCCCUCAUGGGUGCACCGUCGACUGACCUUGAUCUUCUGAGAAGGGUUCGAGUACGAGCACGCCCAUCGGUACCCGAAAGAUGGUGAACUAUGCUGAGCGGGGUGAAGCCAGAGAAAACUCUGAUGGAGGCUCGCAGCGAUACUGAUGUGCAAAUCGUUCCUUUGACUUGGGUAUAAGGGUGAAAGACUAAUCAAACCGUCUAGUAUUUGGUUCUCUCUGAAGUUUCCCUCAAGACAGCUAAAGCCCUCGACAAGUUUUAUCGGGUAAAACCAAUGAUUAGAGGCAUCGAGGGUGCAACGCCCUCGACCUACUCUCAAACUUUAAAUAGGUAGGAUGAUGCGACUACUUCGUUGAGCCACGCCAUAGAAUUGAGAGCUCCAAGUGGGCCAUUUUUGGUAAGUAGAACUAGCGAUGCGGGAUGAACCGAAAGCUAGGUUACAGUGCCCAACUCUAUGCUAACCCAAAACCCACAAAAGGUGUUAGUCAAUUAAGAUAGUAGGACGGUGGUCAUGUAAGUUGAAAUCCGCUAAGGAGUGUGUAACAACUCACCCGUUGAAUCAACUAGCCCAAAAAAUGGAUGGGGCUUAAGUGCACAACCUAUACCUGGUCGUCGGGGCAAGGGCCAAGCUUCGAUGAGUAGGAGGGCAUGACGAUCAUCAUAAAACACCAACUGUGAGCCAGGGCGGAGCAGCCGUUAGUGCAAAUCUUGGUGGUAGAAGCAAAUAUUCAAAUGAGAACUUUAAAGGUUGAAGAGGGAAAGGUUCCAUGUGAACAGCACUUGCACAUGGGUUAAUCAAUCUUAAGAGACGAGGGAAGCCUGUUCGACAGCAUGUCCCAUACGAGCUUCGAAAGGGAAUCGAGUUAAAAUUCUUGAACCAGGAUGCGAUGGCUGACGGUAACAUUAGGGAGUCCAGAGACAUCGGUGGGGGCCUCGAAAAGAGUUAUCUUUUCUAUUUAAUAGCCUGCCCACCCUAGAAAUGACUCAACUAGAGGUAGGGUCCAGUGGCCAGAAGAGCACCGCACGUCACGUGGUGUCCGAUGCACCCCCGGUGGCCUUUGAAAAUUCAGAGGACCAAGUGCCAUUUGCCCUCGAUCAUACUCAUAAUCGCAUCAAGUCUCCAAGGUGAACAAUCUCUAGUUGAUGGAACAAUGUAGGCAAGGGAAGUUGACAAAAUGGUUCUGUAACCUCAGGAAAAAGAUUGGCUCUGAGGGUUGGGCAUGAGGGUCCCAGUCCUGAACCCGUCGGCUAUCGAUGCACUGCUUGAGCUGCUUCUGCAUGCCGGUCAAGGGACAGAUUAGGAACGGCUCGCUCAGGGGCCUUCCCCGAACGAUGAACAGUCGACUCAGAACUGGCACGGACAAUGGGAAUCCGACUAUUUAAUUAAAACAAAGCAUUGCAAUGGUCCUUACAAAUGCUCACGCAAUGUGAUUUCUACCUAGUGCUCUAAAUGUCAAAGUGAAGAAAUUCAACCAAGCAAUGGUAAAUGACGGGAGUAACUAUGACUCUCUUAAGGUAGCCAAAUGCCUCAUCAUCUAAUUAGUGACACGCAUGAAUGGAUUAAUGAGAUUCCCAUUGUCCCUAUCUACUAUCCAGCGAAACCACAGCCAAGGGAACGGGCUUGAUAGAAUCAACGGGGAAAGAAGACCCUGUUGAGCUUGACUCUAGUUUGACUUCGUGAAAUGACUUGAGAGGUGUAGGAUAAGUGGGAGCCCCUGGGCACAAUUGAAAUACCACUACUUUUAACGUUAUUUUACUUAUUUCAUGAAUCGGAAGCGGGGCAUGACCCUUUCUUUUAGACCCAAGGCCGGCCUCUGCUGGUCGAUCUGGAUGGAAGACAUUGUUAGGUGGAGAGUUUGGCUAGGGUGGCACAUCUGUUAAAAGAUAACGGAGGUGUCCUAAGAUAAGCUCAACGAGAAUAGAAAUCUUGUUGGAACAAAAGGGUAAAAGCUUGUUUGAUUCUGAUUUCUAGUACGAAUACGAACUGUGAAAACAUGGCCUAUCGAUCCUUUAGACCUUUGAGAUUUGAAGCUAGAGGUGUCAGAAAAGUUACCACAGGGAUAGCUGGCUUGUGGCAGCCAAGCAUUCAUAGCGACGUUGCUUUUUUAUCCUUCGAUGUCGGCUCUUCCUAUCUUUGUGAAGCAGAAUUCACCAAGUGUUGGAUUGUUCACCCACCAAUAGGAAAUGUGAGUUGGGUUUAAACUGUCAUGAGAUAGGUUAGUUUUACCCUACUGAUGGCGGCAUCAUGAUAGUAAUUCAACCUAGUAUGAGAGAAACUGUUGAUUCAUACAAUUGGUCAUCGCACUUGGUUGAAAAGCCAGUGGCAUCAAGCUACCAUACGCUAGAUUAUGACUGAAUGCCUCUAAGUCAGAAUCUGAGCUACAAGCAUGCCCGUCGCCCGAUUGUCGACCCAUAGUAAGGGCUCAUGGUCUCUAAGGGCACGUGUCGUAGGUGUAGCCCCCGUGGUGGACGUGCCACGUGGGUCUCCUUGGAGCUCAAUUCCCACUGAGCGGUAGGUAGAAUCCUUUGCAAAUGACUUAAAUACACGACGGGGUAUUGUAAGUGGCAGAGUGUCCUUGUUUGAUCCAUUGAGAUUCAACCCUUUGUUGCUUCAAUUCGU